UGAGGGAUGGAAUGGAAAGGAAU
Molecule: microRNA, 23 nt
Filed under: Xenopus laevis (African clawed frog)
Lineage: Eukaryota; Metazoa; Chordata; Amphibia; Anura; Pipidae
Description: xla-miR-5159
Source: RNAcentral